RNAcentral lists this ribosomal RNA (253 nucleotides) under uncultured bacterium. RNAcentral describes it as "partial 16S ribosomal RNA". It matches the Rfam family "Bacterial small subunit ribosomal RNA", at positions 524 to 776 of the family's 1533-position model. The record is from RNAcentral.
UACGAAGGGGGCUAGCGUUGCUCGGAAUUACUGGGCGUAAAGCGCACGUAGGCGGCUUUCUAAGUCGGGGGUGAAAUCCUGGAGCUCAACUCCAGAACUGCCUUCGAUACUGGAGAGCUCGAGUCCGGGAGAGGUGAGUGGAACUGCGAGUGUAGAGGUGAAAUUCGUAGAUAUUCGCAAGAACACCAGUGGCGAAGGCGGCUCACUGGCCCGGUACUGACGCUGAGGUGCGAAAGCAUGGGGAGCGAACAGG